GGGGUUGUGGCUCGGUGGUAGAGCACUCGCCUCGCACGCAUGAGACCCUGGGUUCGAUUCUCAGCACCA
RNAcentral lists this transfer RNA (69 nucleotides) under Ictidomys tridecemlineatus (thirteen-lined ground squirrel). RNAcentral describes it as "Spermophilus tridecemlineatus (thirteen-lined ground squirrel) tRNA". It matches the Rfam family "tRNA". Rfam says of the family: Transfer RNA (tRNA) molecules are approximately 80 nucleotides in length. The record is from Rfam by way of RNAcentral. Lineage: Eukaryota; Metazoa; Chordata; Mammalia; Rodentia; Sciuridae.